Molecule: ribosomal RNA, 458 nt
Filed under: uncultured bacterium
Lineage: Bacteria
Description: partial 16S ribosomal RNA
Rfam family: Bacterial small subunit ribosomal RNA
Source: RNAcentral
CCUACGGGUGGCAGCAGUGAGGAAUAUUGGUCAAUGGACGAGAGUCUGAACCAGCCAAGUAGCGUGAAGGAUGACUGCCCUAUGGGUUGUAAACUUCUUUUAUAUGGGAAUAAAAUGUUCCACGUGUGGGAUUUUGUAUGUACCAUAUGAAUAAGGAUCGGCUAACUCCGUGCCAGCAGCCGCGGUAAUACGGAGGAUCCGAGCGUUAUCCGGAUUUAUUGGGUUUAAAGGGAGCGUAGGUGGAUUGUUAAGUCAGUUGUGAAAGUUUGCGGCUCAACCGUAAAAUUGCAGUUGAAACUGGCAGUCUUGAGUACAGUAGAGGUGGGCGGAAUUCGUGGUGUAGCGGUGAAAUGCUUAGAUAUCACGAAGAACUCCGAUUGCGAAGGCAGUUCACUGGACUGCAACUGACACUGAGGCUCGAAAGUGUGGGUAUCAAACAGGAUUAGUACCUUGUAGUC